RNAcentral lists this long non-coding RNA (1839 nucleotides) under Oncorhynchus mykiss (rainbow trout). Its description in RNAcentral is "lncRNA (ENSOMYG00000051932.1)". Lineage: Eukaryota; Metazoa; Chordata; Actinopteri; Salmoniformes; Salmonidae. The record is from RNAcentral.
AUGUACUGCAUACUACAUCUACAUACUGCAUACUACAUACCACAUAUACUGCAUACUACAUCUACAUACUACAUCUACAUACUGCAUACUACAUACCACAUGUACUGCAUGCUACAUCUACAUACUACAUACUACAUCUACAUACUACAUACUACAUACUACAUGUACUACAUCUACAUACUACAUCUACAUGCUACAUCUACAUACUGCAGGUACUGCAUACUACAUCUAUAUAUUUCAUACUACAUCUACUACAUACUACAUACUACAUCUAUAUACUGCAUGUACUGCAUACUACAUCUACAUAUUUCAUACUACAUCUACUACAUACUACAUACUACAUCUAUAUACUGCAUGUACUGCAUACUACAUCUACAUACUGCAUGUACUGCACACUACAUCUACAUACUACAUACUACAUCUACAUAUACAUACUACAUACUACAUACUACAUACUACAUCUACAUACUGCAUGUACUACAUACUACAUCUAGAUACUACAUCUACAUACUGCAUCUACAUACUACAUACUACAUACUACAUCUACAGACUGCAUGUACUGCAUACUACAUACAACAUACCACAUCUACAUACUGCAUGUACUGCAUACUAUAUACUACAUCUACAUACAGCAUGUACUGCAUUCUACAUACCACGUUAACUGCAUACUACAUCUACAUACUGCAUACUACAUCUACAUACUGCAUGUACGGCAUACUACAUAUACAUAUGUCAUACUACAUCUACUACAUACUACAUCUACAUACUACAUCUAUAUACUGCAUACUACAUCGACAUACUACAUCUUCAUACUACAUCUACAUACUACAUCUACAUACUACAUCUAUAUACUGCAUACUACAUCUACAUACUGCAUCUACAUACUACAUACUACAUCUACAUACUGCAUCUACAUACUACAUCUACAUACUGCAUGUACUACAUACUACAUCUACAUACUACAUCUACAUCAUGCAUGUACUACAUACUGCAUCUACAUACUACAUCUACAUACUGCAUCUACAUACUACAUACUACAUCUACAUACUGCAUCUACAUACUACAUACUACAUCUACAUACUGCAUGUACUACAUACUACAUCUACAUACUACAUCUACAUCAUGCAUGUACUACAUACUGCAUCUACAUACUACAUCUACAUACUGCAUCUACAUACUACAUACUACAUCUACAUACUACAUACUGCAUGUACUACAUACUACAUCUACAUACUACAUCUACAUCAUGCAUGUACUACAUACUGCAUCUACAUACUACAUCUACAUACUGCAUCUACAUACUACAUACCGCAUCUACAUACUGCAUGUACUGCAUACUACAUACUACAUGUACUGCAUACUACAUCUACAUACUACAUGUACUACAUACUACAUGUACUGCAUACUACAUCUACAUACUACAUGUACUACAUCUAUAUACUACAUCUACAUACUACAUACUACAUCUACAUACUACAUCUACAUAAUACAUGUACUGCAUACUACAUCUACAUACUACAUGUACUACAUGUACUACAUACUACAUCUAUAUACUACAUACUACAUAUAUAUACUACAUACUACAUCUACAUCUAUAUACUGCAUGUACUGCAUACUACAUCUACAUACUACAUGUCUUGCAUACUACAUCUACAUAUUUCAUACCACAUCUACUACAUACUGCAUCCAUAUACUGCAUGUACUACAUACUACAUCUACAUACUGCAUGUACUGCACACUACAUCUACAUACUACAUACUACAUGUACUGCAUACUACAUCUACAUCUACAUACUGCAUAUACUACAUACUGCAUGUACUACAUACUACAUCUACAUAA